AAAAAAUUACAGAGGCUCCAGAUCAUGUAAUCUUUCUUCAGAGAGGAUUCACCUUUUUCUCUGCUGGGCAGGUAGAGAGAAGACUGAUCACCCUAAAUCCAGUCAAGGACUAAGCUUUGUUCACAGGGGGUAAGGCUUCAAUUACCUCUCCAGUGCAUAGCUCUCCUGGGCUUCCAGAUGGGGGCCUGCUGUGUUCACUGGAGCCUCUCCUUCUGUCUAGUCCUCCACUUUAUUAUUUUUUUUCUUUCCUCACUCAAAAACUCAGAUCUUCUUUUUCUGGUCUUUUUGUCUUGGGUUCUUAGUUUCCCUUCUCAUUCAGAAUUCAAGAGCGAUCCUGGGGAGAACCUACAUGUGCCAGCUCUAGUGCUGUGUCUUCCCGUUAUGACUUCGUUAAAUUAACGUUUGCUAAGAGAAGCACGGGGUGCUGGAUGGUGAGCCACAGUUCAACAAAGGACCAUAAGAGAAAUUGGAAUAGAGAAGUUUAUUACUCACAGGACCUGGAGGAAGUACAUGGCAUACCUCGAGGAGCCACACGGAGAGGAGAGGUCAAGUAAAGGUGCAAGCAGAGAGAGAGGCAGGACCUGGGGUAAUAUAAGGCUCUGGACUUGCUAGCAGAAAAGGAGGAAUUUGAGGCUGGCCAGCUGGAGCAUAUUUUUC
Molecule: long non-coding RNA, 657 nt
Filed under: Equus asinus (donkey)
Lineage: Eukaryota; Metazoa; Chordata; Mammalia; Perissodactyla; Equidae
Description: lncRNA (ENSEASG00005028353.1)
Source: RNAcentral